GGAGGAGGCAAGAGGUGUGCAUUUCUGAGUAGUAUAUAACCUGGGAGGAGGCAAGGUGUGCAUUUCUGAGUAGUAUAUGACCUGGGAGGAGGCAAGAGGUGUGCAUUUCUGAGUAGUAUAUGACCUGGGAGGAGGCAAGAGGUGUGCAUUUCUGAGUAGUAUAUGACCUGGGAGGAGGCAAGAGGUGUGCAUUUCUGAGUAGUAUAUAACCUGGGAGGAGGCAAGGUGUGAAUUUCUGAGUAGUAUAUGACCUGGGAGGAGGCAAGGUGUGAAUUUCUGAGUAGUAUAUAACCUGGGAGGAGGCAAGGUGUGCAUUUCUGAGUAGUAUAUGACCUGGGAGGAGGCAAGAGGUGUGCAUUUCUGAGUAGUAUAUAACCUGGGAGGAGGCAAGGUGUGCAUUUCUGAGUAGUAUAUGACCUGGGAGGAGGCAAGAGGUGUGCAUUUCUGAGUAGUAUAUGACCUGGGAGGAGGCAAGAGGUGUGCAUUUCUGAGUAGUAUAUAACCUGGGAGGAGGCAAGGUGUGCAUUUCUGAGUAGUAUAUGACCUGGGAGGAGGCAAGGUGUGAAUUUCUGAGUAGUAUAUAACCUGGGAGGAGGCAAGGUGUGCAUUUCUGAGUAGUAUAUGACCUGGGAGGAGGCAAGAGGUGUGCAUUUCUGAGUAGUAUAUAACCUGGGAGGAGGCAAGGUGUGCAUUUCUGAGUAGUAUAUGACCUGGGAGGAGGCAAGAGGUGUGCAUUUCUGAGUAGUAUAUGACCUGGGAGGAGGCAAGAGGUGUGCAUUUCUGAGUAGUAUAUGACCUGGGAGGAGGCAAGAGGUGUGCAUUUCUGAGUAGUAUAUAACCUGGGAGGAGGCAAGGUGUGAAUUUCUGAGUAGUAUAUGACCUGGGAGGAGGCAAGGUGUG
Long non-coding RNA from Apodemus sylvaticus (European woodmouse), 900 nucleotides. RefSeq lists it as uncharacterized. Lineage: Eukaryota; Metazoa; Chordata; Mammalia; Rodentia; Muridae. The transcript is spliced from 8 exons. The record is from RefSeq and is a predicted model, not a curated record.